Molecule: ribosomal RNA, 633 nt
Filed under: Medicago sativa (alfalfa)
Lineage: Eukaryota; Viridiplantae; Streptophyta; Magnoliopsida; Fabales; Fabaceae
Description: bacterial SSU rRNA
Rfam family: Bacterial small subunit ribosomal RNA
Source: RNAcentral
UGGUCUGGAAACGGCUGCUAAUACCCCGUAAGCUGAGGAGCGAAAGGAGGAAUCCGCCCAAGGAGGGGCUCGCGUCUGAUUAGCUAGUUGGUGAGGUAAUAGCUUACCAAGGCGGUGAUCAGUAGCUGGUCCGAGAGGAUGAUCAGCCACACUGGGACUGAGACAAGGCCCAGACUCCUACGGGAGGCAGCAGUGGGGAAUUUUCCGCAAUGGGCGAAAGCCUGACGGAGCAAUGCCGCGUGGAGGUAAAAGGCCUACGGGUCAUGAACUUCUUUUCCUGGAGAAGAAACAAUGACGGUAUCUGGGGAAUAAGCAUCGGCUAACUCUGUGCCAGCAGCCGCGGUAAGACAGAGGAUGCAAGCGUUAUCCGGAAUGAUUGGGCGUAAAGCGUCUGUAGGUGGCUUUUUAAGUUCGCCGUCAAAUCCCAGGGCUCAACCCUGGACAGGUGGUGAAAACUACUAAGCUAGAGUACGGUAGGGGCAGAGGGAAUUUCCGGUGGAGCGAUGAAAUGCGUAGAGAUCGGAAGGAACACCAACGGCGAAAGCACUCUGCUGGGCCGACACUGACACUGAGAGACGAAAGCUAGGGGAGCGAAUGGGAUUAGAGGGUUAUGGACUGUUCUUCUUUGAAGGG